GACGGGAUAACCGCUGAAAGCAUCUAAGCGGGAAGCCCCUUCCAAGAUGAGAUCUCCCUGGACCCUCGAGGUCCCUGAAGAGCCGUUCAAGACCAGGACGUUGAUAGGUCGGGUGUGUAAGCGCUGCGAGGCGUUGAGCUAACCGAUACUAAUUGCUCGUGCGGCUUGACU
RNAcentral lists this ribosomal RNA (171 nucleotides) under Dolichomastix tenuilepis. RNAcentral describes it as "partial Bacterial large subunit ribosomal RNA". It matches the Rfam family "Bacterial large subunit ribosomal RNA", at positions 2758 to 2925 of the family's 2925-position model. The record is from RNAcentral. Lineage: Eukaryota; Viridiplantae; Chlorophyta; Mamiellophyceae; Dolichomastigales; Dolichomastigaceae.